AUUGAACGCUGGCGGCAUGUCUUACACAUGCAAGUCGAACGGUAACGCGGGGCAACCUGGCGACGAGUGGCGAACGGGUGAGUAAUGCAUCGGAACGUGCCCAGUAGUGGGGGAUAGCCCGGCGAAAGCCGGAUUAAUACCGCAUACGACCUACGGGUGAAAGGGGGGGAUCGCAAGACCUCUUGCUAUUGGAGCGGCCGAUGUCAGAUUAGGUAGUUGGUGGGGUAAAGGCCUACCAAGCCGACGAUCUGUAGCUGGUCUGAGAGGACGACCAGCCACACUGGGACUGAGACACGGCCCAGACUCCUACGGGAGGCAGCAGCGGGGAAUUUUGGACAAUGGGCGCAAGCCUGACCCAGCCAUGCCGCGUGCGGGAAGAAGGCCUUCGGGUUGUAAACCGCUUUUGUCAGGGAAGAAAUCUUCUGGGUUAAUACCUCGGGAGGAUGACGGUACCUGAAGAAUAAGCACCGGCUAACUACGUGCCAGCAGCCGCGGUAA
Molecule: ribosomal RNA, 498 nt
Filed under: uncultured bacterium
Lineage: Bacteria
Description: partial 16S ribosomal RNA
Rfam family: Bacterial small subunit ribosomal RNA
Source: RNAcentral